UACGUAGGCAGCGAGCGUUGUUCGGAAUUACUGGGCGUAAAGAGUGUGUAGGCGGUGUUCCCAGUCUGUUGUGAAAUCUCCCGGCUUAACUGGGAGGGUGCAGCGGAAACUAGAAUGCUAGAGGGUGGGAGAGGUAAGCGGAAUUCCUGGUGUAGCGGUGAAAUGCGUAGAUAUCAGGAGGAACACCGGUGGUGUAGACGGCUCUCUGGACCGUAACUGACGCUGAGGCACGAAAGCGUGGGUAGCAAACAGG
Molecule: ribosomal RNA, 253 nt
Filed under: uncultured bacterium
Lineage: Bacteria
Description: partial 16S ribosomal RNA
Rfam family: Bacterial small subunit ribosomal RNA
Source: RNAcentral